Molecule: long non-coding RNA, 258 nt
Filed under: Nicotiana benthamiana
Lineage: Eukaryota; Viridiplantae; Streptophyta; Magnoliopsida; Solanales; Solanaceae
Description: long non-coding RNA (NBEN_LNC020013)
Source: RNAcentral
CGAACUUUCGGUAUAUAAGUCCGACGAAAGACAACCCGCUUCUCGAAGGCGAGGAAGAACCGACUUCAAGCAAGCGGUGCACUUUUUUCUAAAUAGGGUGGUAUGGGUGGGGAAGGAAGGAAAGAAGGGCAAGUCAGCUAGAAAUUGCGUAUAGUAAGAUGGGGGGGCAGUAUGGAAAGCAAAAAUGUGGAACCUAAUAGAAAUUACUACUAGUUGGACCAAAAAAAAGAUUUUUUCAAGCGAUUGUGUGAUAACUUU